This 275-nucleotide ribosomal RNA is filed under the name uncultured Syntrophus sp. Its description in RNAcentral is "partial 16S ribosomal RNA". It matches the Rfam family "Bacterial small subunit ribosomal RNA", at positions 1107 to 1382 of the family's 1533-position model. The record is from RNAcentral. Lineage: Bacteria; Pseudomonadati; Thermodesulfobacteriota; Syntrophia; Syntrophales; Syntrophaceae.
GUCUUUAAUUUGCCAUCAUUGAGUUGGGCACUUUAAGGAGACUGCCGGUGUUAAACCGGAGGAAGGUGGGGAUGACGUCAAGUCCUCAUGGCCUUUAUGCCCAGGGCUACACACGUGCUACAAUGGGUGGUACAAAGAGCAGCCAGCUCGCGAGAGUGAGCAAAUCUCAAAAAGCCAUCCUCAGUUCGGAUUGAAGUCUGCAACUCGACUUCAUGAAGUUGGAAUUGCUAGUAACCGCAGGUCAGCACACUGCGGUGAAUACGUUCUCGGGCCUU